This 451-nucleotide long non-coding RNA is filed under the name Triticum aestivum (bread wheat). RNAcentral describes it as "long non-coding RNA (TAES_LNC000647)". Lineage: Eukaryota; Viridiplantae; Streptophyta; Magnoliopsida; Poales; Poaceae. The record is from RNAcentral.
UAAGAUUGGAGGCGAUGGCAUCGAUCGUUACAACUUAUCAUGGUUAUGAGAUCUGUUUCUAGACGCGAGGUAGAAUUUUGGUGUGCCCCUGAAGUUGGGUAGUAGAGGUGGGUGUUGGUAGCUUUUGGCCCGGGGCUAUCUGUAGUGUUCAACGUUAUUCUGCACCUUUUGUUUACUAGUAAAUUGUAUGUGCUUUGCACGUCACUUAAAUAUAUAAAAGCAUGGGAAAAUACAUUUGAAUAUGUAUUUCCUUUCCUAGAAUCAUAUUAGACAAGAUCCAACUUGUUGGUUAUUAGUCCCAGUUUUGUAAGAUUCUCCCAGAACCUGACCCCUUCCUAGCUUCGCUCAGAAUCUUUGAGCCGCAUUUGUUUUAUUAUCCUAUUUAGUUAGGGUCUAAUUAGCUAGGAUUCUAAAACAAAUGGUGUCAAAGAUUCUGAAAGAAGUUAAUGAG